Molecule: non-coding RNA, 29 nt
Filed under: Homo sapiens (human)
Lineage: Eukaryota; Metazoa; Chordata; Mammalia; Primates; Hominidae
Source: RNAcentral
UGGGCUAAAGGAACAGAUUCCUAGAGAUU